RNAcentral lists this ribosomal RNA (868 nucleotides) under uncultured Neocallimastigales. RNAcentral describes it as "partial large subunit ribosomal RNA". It matches the Rfam family "Eukaryotic large subunit ribosomal RNA", at positions 1 to 644 of the family's 3401-position model. Lineage: Eukaryota; Fungi; Neocallimastigomycota; Neocallimastigomycetes; Neocallimastigales. The record is from RNAcentral.
CUAUACAUGACUCUGCGCAUAUCAAUAAGCGGAGGAAAAGCAUAACAUGUAUACCUACGCUUAGGAUGUUGAAGAUAUGCGCGACACGGCUCUAUACAUGACUCUGCGCAUAUCAAUAAGCGGAGGAAAAGAAACUAACAAGGAUUCCCUUAGUAACGGCGAGUGAAGCGGGAAGAGCUCAAAUUUGAAAUCUUAAAGGGUUUCCCUUUACGAAUUGUAGUUUAAAGAAGUGUUUUCUGUUGGAGUUUCGGUAAAAGUUCUUUGGAAUAGGACAUCAUAGAGGGUGAGAAUCCCGUAUUUGAUCGUUACUUUCCAGCUGUGUGAUACACUUUCAAAGAGUCGGAUUGUUUGGGGAUGCAGUCCAAAAUGGGUGGUAAAUUUCAUCUAAAGCUAAAUAUUGGCGAGAGACCGAUAGCGAACAAGUACCGUGAGGGAAAGAUGAAAAGAACUUUGAAAAGAGAGUUAAACAGUACGUGAAAUUGUCAAAAGGGAAGCGUUUGACACCAGUGUUGUUUAGUUGAAAAUCAAUUCAAUAAUUUUUGAUUUUAAGUAGUAUUGACUUCAUCAGCUUGCUGCUUUCUUUUCGAAAAUUAUUGAAUGCACUUUUCAGUUAACAAGUCAACAUCAAUUUCUUUUGUUGUAAAAGGGUAAGAGGAAGGUGGCUUACGCUUCGGCGUAAGUGUUUAUAGCCUUUUACCUCUGCAAUCGGAGAGAUUGAGGUCAGCAGCGUAGACUCCUUCGGGGGUUAGAUACACUUGUGCUAAGCUAUAGCCUUGUAUAGACAACUUGUUGACUAUGCUCAGUCAUGUAGCUUACUCGCAUGUGCUAUUUUACCUACGCUUAGGAUGUUGAAGAUAUGCGCGACACG